ACGAGAAUAUUCGACAAUGGACGAAAGUCUGAUCGAGCGACGCCGCGUGGAGGAUGAAGUGCUUCGGCAUGUAAACUCCUUUUGCCAGGGAAAAAGUUUAUUGAUUGUACCUGGAGAAUAAGAGGUUGCUAAACUCGUGCCAGCAGCAGCGGUAAUACGAGUGCCUCGAGCGUUAUCCGGAAUCAUUGGGCGUAAAGGGUGCGUAGGCGGCGAUGUUAGUCUCCCGUAAAAUCUUUCGGCUCAACCGAGAGUCCGCGGGGGAAACGGCAUUGCUUGAGGACGGGAGAGGUUUCUGGAACUCAUGGUGUAGCGGUGAAAUGCGUUGAUAUCAUGGGGAACACCAAAAGCGAAGGCAAGAAACUGGCCCGCUCCUGACGCUGAAGCACGAAAGCGUGGGUCGCGAAUGGGAUUAGAUACCCGUGUAGUCC
This 428-nucleotide ribosomal RNA is filed under the name uncultured bacterium. Its description in RNAcentral is "bacterial SSU rRNA". It matches the Rfam family "Bacterial small subunit ribosomal RNA", at positions 355 to 796 of the family's 1533-position model. The record is from RNAcentral.